Molecule: transfer RNA, 73 nt
Filed under: Bos taurus (domestic cattle)
Lineage: Eukaryota; Metazoa; Chordata; Mammalia; Artiodactyla; Bovidae
Also listed under: 3 other names
Rfam family: tRNA
About the family: Transfer RNA (tRNA) molecules are approximately 80 nucleotides in length. Their secondary structure includes four short double-helical elements and three loops (D, anti-codon, and T loops).
Source: Rfam by way of RNAcentral
UCCCUGGUGGUCCAGUGGCUAAGACACCACGUUCCCAAUGCAGGGGGCCUGGGUUCAAUCCCUGGUCAGGGAA